Molecule: ribosomal RNA, 468 nt
Filed under: uncultured bacterium
Lineage: Bacteria
Description: SSU rRNA
Rfam family: Bacterial small subunit ribosomal RNA
Source: RNAcentral
AGGAUAAACGCUGGCGGCGUGCCUAACACAUGCAAGUCGAACGUCUCUUCUUUCGGGAAGAGGAGUGGCGGACGGGUGAGGAACACGUGGGAACCUGCCCUUUAGUGAGGAAUACCGGCGAGAAAUCGCCGACAAGACCGCAUAGCCCUCUUUGAUGAGAGUCAAAGAAGGAAAGCUUCGCAAGAGGCGCUAGAGGAGGGGCCUGCGUCCGAUUAGCUAGUUGGUGGGGUAAGAGCCUACCAAGGCGUCGAUCGGUAGCUGGUCUGAGAGGACGAUCAGCCACACUGGGAUUGAGAACGGCCCAGACUCCUACGGGGGCAGCAGUGAGGAAUUUUCGGCAAUGGGGGAAACCCUGACCGAGCAACGCCGCGUGCAGGAAGACGGCCUUCGGUUGUAAACUGCUUUCUUUGGUAAGAGAACGGACGGUACCAGAGGAAUCAGCCCGGCUCACUACGUGCCAGCAGCCGC